Molecule: non-coding RNA, 4127 nt
Organism: Xyrichtys novacula (pearly razorfish)
Lineage: Eukaryota; Metazoa; Chordata; Actinopteri; Labriformes; Labridae
Source: the annotation of a GenBank genome assembly
GAGGAGGGUGUGACAUCUGCUCCACCAGCGCUCAUUAAGGCAGUAUUAUCACAUCUUACAAUGAGAGGGACAUGGAUGAAAUGUCAAACCGAUGCAGAUUCCCCAAACAGGUCUCUGUUUAUUCAUUAGGAGUCAUUCUUUUAGCCCUGUGAAUGUACCACCAGUAGUCCCUUUUCUUUAACCUUUCUUUGGCCUCUUCUUACUGUCUAUAGCUGUUUAAGUUACUUCUACUUGUUGCUGACCAUACGUCCUCUUUUACCCGGACAUGUCCUCUUUUUGGAGGGCUGUUUAAAGUUUUGAGUUUGUGUCGUGUGGACUUUUUGAGUUAGAAACGCAUAAAAAACACUCGACCUGACCUGAAAAAUCUCAAAAAAUUUACUAUGCAUGACUCAUUAACUCUGCCUCUGCGUAGUUGUGUCCUCUUUUUGGAGAUUCAGAAUAUGGUCACCUUAGUGUUAUCUGUAGAGCCAGUGAUGUUACAGUGGAUUUGACAGCCUUUAAACAAACUCUUAGUGUGUUGAAAAAGUACAUUCUAGUAAUCACACUAAACUGAAUCGGUGGAUUUUAGAGCUGGACAGGAUGAAAAUUUGCUGAAAUUAGAUAUACAAGCCUGAUUUACUCAUAUAAACUACUAUAGUUCGCACGCUGAUUUAUCAAUCAAUCAUUAAGUAAAUUAAUCUCUAUCGAUAAAGUGCCAAUUCUGAAAAAGUGUUACCCCAAGAUGCUCAACAGAAAACCUGGUCCAGACCAGACCCUAUUUACAAGGUGGGAUCAGAUUGAGCUCCAUCUAUUAAUAUCAGACCAUAGACUGUAUAUAGAAUGGACGCCGUCUGCCUCCUCGCUGAGUGAAGCCACCCUGAGAACAGCACCCUCUGGUGACGGGCUGCAGUAUAGGUCAUAAAUCCUGCCUCUUCCGGCAAUCCCUAUGGAGCUGUGGACAAACUUAUGAAAUUUAUUAAACGGAAUAUAAUUUUUUCAUUUUCCCCCUGCUUGUGAUGUUGACAUGUAGUUACAGUAAGACUGGUUUGUGCUCAAGUCCUCUUUUUUCUGUACAGCUCCAUUUUUUAAGUUAUUAGGGGGGGUUCUAUGAUUGACACUUGAUACAGCCUAUGGGCGUAACAAAGAUUGUGUAGCUCACCCGGGAAAUGCUGUUUGAGCUGAGUGUCAUCACAGCGACUCUCUGCGACUCUCCCGCUGAAUGCAUACAAUGCUACUACCCGGAAAUACAGAGAGCAUUCAGCUUCAUAUUCAUAUAAUGACAAAAGUCAAGACCAAGUUGUCCAUAGUAUAUACAGACCCACUCCCAUUACAUCUUCAACCACAUGAGUGUAGCUCUUUGUAGAAUUUGACAAGUUACAGUGAAGAGGACAACCUUCCUUAGACAGGCAGAAACCUCGAGCAGAACCAGACUCUUGUGGUUUAUGUUGUACUGCCCAACGUCUUAUUGUGAACAUGGUGCUAUGGUGGUUGUAAGAGUAAAAUACUGUCUUGUGCGUAGUUAACAACUGGUAUGGCUAACAACAACUAACAACCACUGACAACGGCUAACGACAGCUGAAAAUUGUUAACAUCAGCUAACUGUAGGCGUCCAUCUUGGUUUUACUGGAACGCCGUCAACUUGGGUGUAACGUCAUUCCCAGCUCUGACAUCCGAGUUCCGUGGUAACUGGAAAAUACCUCUGGUGACUUAAAUCUCAUUGCUUCAUCAGUUCCAAUUAAUAAAAUCAGCACUUUUAAUCUUGUAAUAAUCGAUCAGCUUUACAGCUACAGAAAAGGCUCUUUCUGCUGCUGGUUGAGUGACACUAAAAUUACUUCACAUAAAAAACUAAAACAAAACAAACAAAAGAUUGUUUUUUUUCUCCUCACCUAGCUGAAUCUAACAAAUAAGACAUCUUGGGUUUAAUUUGCCAAAGCUUUGAGCUCUCUGCUUCCACUUCAUUACCCAUGACAGCAAAGAUAGGUUUUAGUUUCUCAUGCUCAGUGUGUUGAAAACCAAUCUGAUGCAACAUCUGUUUUCAGAAACACUACCUCUAUUACAGCGGAUAAUCCUCAGAAAACAUCAAUAAUAUGAUUCACAAGGACGGCUUCCUUGGUGAAAAUUGAAAACUCGGCGCAGUGAAAAUCUUUUAUCGAGUUCUUAUCCCGUAAUAAGUCGAUUAUUUAUAAAUUAAAUCAAUUUUUAAAAACAGAGAAUAGCCGCACACUGUAUUUUGUAUGCCUGUGAAAAUACAAUAUUUAAGAAAGUCUGUGAAGGCAGAUAAAAUGUGUGUGUGUGUGCAGAAGACAGAAGGAAGAGUGUCUGCAUGGAUGUAAUGGGAUGGAUAUGGUUAGAGAAACAGUAAGCCAUGUGCAAAAGAGAAGCUGAAAACCCACAGAGACUUAGAUGUGUGUAAGAAAGUGUAUGUGAAUGUGUGUGUGUGUGUGUGUGUGUGUAUGUGUAUGUGUAUGUGUGUGUGUGUGUGUGUGUCAGGUGACAGGGAGGGAUGGGGACAUGGGCAGGUCCUGGUAAUGAAGGACUGAUAAGUCCCUAUUUCCUGGGCCUGGGUUAAUUGUGCCCACAGAUAAAGGGUAAUAAAUUGUCACGGGGUAAUGGCAGGAGCUUGGGCUCGGCCCUGUUCCACAUUCAUCAUGAGCGGCUGGGCCUGUGAGCCUGGAGAGCAGGCAGGGCUGAGAGACCUGCACAGCCUGGCAGGCAGGAGGAGACGGAGGAGGAGAAACCUCACAGGGAUGCAGGAGGAGAGGAUGUUUGGCUUACUUGCUCACAGGGAUUCUGUCGCUGGCUGAGCGGUGUUGGAGCGAGGACAAGACAUAACAGAGGUUGAGAGAGAUGUGAAGGAGACUUGAAGACUGAUGCAAGACCAAUGAUUGCAAUUAUUUAAAGGGAUAUUCCAGCAUAAAAAUAAUUUACAGUCAAAUAUGCCAUAACUCCGAGUUAGACUCCCCCUUGAGAGAUGAAUGUUGCAGACUGCUUGCUUCUCUAGUUAUACCAACUUUAGCAACAACCGCACUAUAGCAUUACACAGCGGUCUGAGCAAACCUCAACCAAAAAGCCACUCGUAAAAGGACAUAUAGGGUCCCAGCCAUAGUACUAGACACCAAACAUCUUUUUAGCUUUGCCUGAUUUCUUUAGCAAAGAGACUAAACACAACUCACCAACUCUCUUCCAGCAGCUGCUUGUUUGUAGAGAGACCUCGGGCCAGUCCAUUACGGACUACAGUGGGGUGAUGCAGCUCAAGGAAGAACAUUUAUGAUAGUUUUGAGUCUACUCUUGAUGGAAGAGAGGGUGUCUGCACCUCGACUGGUAGAUAAAUCCAGAGGAGAGGAGCUUGAUAACUGAAAGCUCUACAACCCAGACCCAAAGCCGGCCUGCAUUAGUAGGAAUCCUCAAUGUGAGGUGUGUCAUACCAGCUCAAUUAGUUUGUUUUAAAGAAAUGUGGAGUUCUGCAAACCUCUGCUUAUUCAGUAAGUUGGAGAUAAAUGUAAUUAUUGAUAUUUUCUUGGACAAAGUUACAAAGUGAACCCCAUAACUAAACUUGCAGGCCUGCCUCCCCUUAGAAAACAUACAGAGAAGCAUGGUCAGUGUAAACAUCACUGUAGGGUUAGUUAGAUUUGAGUAGAUAAAAAGGAGGUGAAAGGAAGUGAAAACCUACAUGUAUCAAAGAGAUUCUCUGUGAAGUGUGUCUUCUCAUUAAAUGAGUGAUUAGUGUUUACAUUCAGGCUACAGUGGUGCACAGUGUGGUGCAGCUGUUGGAAAGGAUAACAGCUGACUGUAUGUUCAUACAAUUAUCUAGCUGUUUGUUAAAUCCUGAUUGUUUGUUUUGGUUCUUUUCAGAUCAGAUUUUCAAAGAGAAAAGUUAUUUUUGAAGACCCGCUGUGCUCUUCAGCUCAUCCCAGCACUUGUUUAAUAAUGUCAGAAAUCCAGUUUCCUCAGCGGAGAGGGUACAAGCUGCAUAUUCAGGGAAACCCAUGGUGUCAGGAAAAUGUAGUUCAUUACAUAAAGAGACAAUGCAGAGAUCAUGUUUAGUGGGACUCAGUGCACCACCUUGCCAGCUUGACAGAUCACUUCCUCAAACUGAGAGAUGGUGUUAGUUGGAGGUUGCCGCAGCGGCUGAGGGAUGAUGCAUCCCA